RNAcentral lists this ribosomal RNA (449 nucleotides) under uncultured bacterium. RNAcentral's name for it is "partial 16S ribosomal RNA". It matches the Rfam family "Bacterial small subunit ribosomal RNA", at positions 29 to 523 of the family's 1533-position model. The record is from RNAcentral.
AACGAACGCUGGCGGCAGGCUUAACACAUGCAAGUCGAACGCAUCCUUCGGGGUGAGUGGCAGACGGGUGAGUAACGCGUGGGAGCGUGCCCUUCAGUUCGGGAUAACCCAGGGAAACUUGGGCUAAUACCGGAUACGUGCGAGAGCAGAAAGAUUUAUCGCUGAAGGAUCGGCCCGCGUCUGAUUAGCUAGUUGGUGGGGUAAUGGCCCACCAAGGCGACGAUCAGUGGCGGGUCUGAGAGGAUGAUCAGCCACAUUGGGACUGAGACACGGCCCAAACUCCUACGGGAGGCAGCAGUGGGGAAUAUUGGACAAUGGGCGCAAGCCUGAUCCAGCCAUGCCGCGUGAGUGAUGAAGGCCUUAGGGUUGUAAAGCUCUUUCGUCCGGGACGAUAAUGACAGUACCGGAAGAAGAAGCCCCGGCUAACUUCGUGCCAGCCGCCGCGGUAA